This 97-nucleotide non-coding RNA is filed under the name Patagioenas fasciata monilis. The record is from Rfam by way of RNAcentral. Lineage: Eukaryota; Metazoa; Chordata; Aves; Columbiformes; Columbidae.
UCCUAAAUUAAUGUCAACCUGGAUGACCUGGGGAGCAGAAGGGCAAAAGCUCGCUUGAUCUUGAUUUUCAGUACGAAUACAGACCGUGAAAGCGGGG